Molecule: transfer RNA, 73 nt
Organism: Ovis aries (sheep)
Lineage: Eukaryota; Metazoa; Chordata; Mammalia; Artiodactyla; Bovidae
Rfam family: tRNA
About the family: Transfer RNA (tRNA) molecules are approximately 80 nucleotides in length. Their secondary structure includes four short double-helical elements and three loops (D, anti-codon, and T loops).
Source: Rfam
UCCCUGGAGGUCCAGUGGUUAGGACUGUGCAUUUUUACUGCUGAGGGCACAGGUUCAAUCCCUGGUCAGGGAA